RNAcentral lists this ribosomal RNA (484 nucleotides) under uncultured bacterium. RNAcentral's name for it is "partial 16S ribosomal RNA". It matches the Rfam family "Bacterial small subunit ribosomal RNA", at positions 27 to 507 of the family's 1533-position model. The record is from RNAcentral.
GGGGGGGGGGGGGGGGGGGGGGGGGGGGGGGGGGGCGGGCGGAUGGGGGGGGCUUGCGCCUGGAGUCAGCGGCGGACGGGUGAGUAAUGCCUAGGAGGCUGCCUGGUAGUGGGGGAUAACGUCCGGAAACGGGCGCUAAUACCGCAUACGUCCUGAGGGAGAAAGUGGGGGAUCUUCGGACCUCACGCUAUCAGCUGAGCCUAGGUCGGAUUAGCUAGUUGGUGGGGUAAAGGCCUACCAAGGCGACGAUCCGUAACUGGUCUGAGAGGAUGAUCAGUCACACUGGAACUGAGACACGGUCCAGACUCCUACGGGAGGCAGCAGUGGGGAAUAUUGGACAAUGGGCGAAAGCCUGAUCCAGCCAUGCCGCGUGUGUGAAGAAGGUCUUCGGAUUGUAAAGCACUUUAAGUUGGGAGGAAGGGCAGUAAGUUAAUACCUUGCUGUUUUGACGUUACCAACAGAAUAAGCACCGGCUAACUUCGUG